CAGUAGCCACGGUAAUACGAAGGGGGCUAGCGUUGCUCGGAAUGACUGGGCGUAAAGGGCGCGUAGGCGGUUUGUACAGUUGGAUGUGAAAUUCCUGGGCUUAACCUGGGGGCUGCAUUCAAUACGUGCAGGCUUGAGUGUGGAAGAGGGUUGUGGAAUUCCCAGUGUAGAGGUGAAAUUCGUAGAUAUUGGGAAGAACACCAGUGGCGAAGGCGGCUCACUGGACGCGUAUUGACGCUGAGGUGCGAAAGCGUGGGGAGCAGACAGGAUUAGAUACCCCCGUAGUCCCUGUCUCUUAUAC
RNAcentral lists this ribosomal RNA (301 nucleotides) under uncultured bacterium. Its description in RNAcentral is "partial 16S ribosomal RNA". It matches the Rfam family "Bacterial small subunit ribosomal RNA", at positions 509 to 807 of the family's 1533-position model. The record is from RNAcentral.